UAUUCCCCAGGAAGAUGACUUCAGUCAGUCAUUCCAUACCUAGGGUGAGAUCGGGGUAAUCACUCCCAGGAGUUGGUUAGAAGUUGGACUCCCCUCUCUCCUCAAGCCUUAUUCAAUGGUGGCUCCUCCCUGGGCCUGGAGCCUAGGCCCAAUCUUGGGAAAGAAAUUUCUCUGUAGAGUUCACCAGAAACGACGUAAAACUUACAAACCAGAUUUUUUCCUUUGGAAAAGUUGCUAGCUUUUUACCAAGUUCUUUUACACAUCAAAAUAAUUUCUCACUUCUGCAUUAUAUUCACUUCUAAUUUUGAAUUUCUCAUUUGCUCCUCCAUGAGCAUCCGUGGAUCAUGGUU
Molecule: long non-coding RNA, 350 nt
Filed under: Homo sapiens (human)
Lineage: Eukaryota; Metazoa; Chordata; Mammalia; Primates; Hominidae
Description: HSALNT0070404
Source: RNAcentral